AGUGAACGCUGGCGGUAUGCCUAACACAUGCAAGUCGAACGGCAGCACAGUAAGAGCUUGCUCUUACGGGUGGCGAGUGGCGGGCGGGUGAGGAAUACAUCGGAUUCUACUUUUUCGGGGGGGAUAACGGAGGGAAACUUACGCUAAUACCGCAUACGAUCUACGGGUGAAAGCAGUAGAGCUUCGCACCUUGCGCGACUGAAUGAGCCGAUGUCGGAUUAGCUAGUUGGGGGGGUGACGGCUCACCAAGGCGACGAUCCGUAGCGGGUCUGAGAGGAUGAUCAGCCACACUGGAACUGAGACACGGUCCAGACUCCUACGGGAGGCAGCAGUGGGGAAUAUUCCACAAUGGGCGCAAGCCUGAUGCAGCCAUACCGCGUGGGUGAAGAAGGCCUUCGGGUUGUAAAGCCCUUUUGUUGGGAAAGAAAAGCAGCAGGUUAAUCCCCCGCUGUUCUGACGGUACCCAAAGAAUAAGCACCGGCUAACUUCGUG
This 492-nucleotide ribosomal RNA is filed under the name uncultured bacterium. Its description in RNAcentral is "partial 16S ribosomal RNA". It matches the Rfam family "Bacterial small subunit ribosomal RNA", at positions 29 to 507 of the family's 1533-position model. The record is from RNAcentral.